GGGAUACCUGUUCUUUUCAAAAGGCACGCAUCUUGGACUUUUCUCUAAAUGAACGCGUAUCAAUUUUUUGAGUUAAAAAAAGAGCAAUAAUGUCAUAUUUGUGGAAUUUAGCCACUUACACAGUUUCUUGGCAUCUUCCUUUCAAAUUCUCCCAUGGUGUUUAAUCUUUCAACUAUACCUCUGAGUGCUACGGAGAGAAGGAGAUAUGCUGGAAUUCCACCUCCGACUGUUUUGUGAGAGGUUGAAAAGGGUGUUAGCAGGUGAAGAAGGCACGUUGCCGCUGCCAGAUUCAACAAAUUUAACUCCACUUUUUCAAAACCUUCUUACGGAGUCCGAAAUUAUUGCUACUACUCUGCUGGAAAAAAAUGAAGCUGACAUGGCUCGGCAUUUGUUUCAACUCAUUAGAGAAGAAUUCGAUGAAUCCAAAAUAUCUUCGCCUUUUUUGCAACUGUUGGACUUAGAAGAAAGCGAUGAAGAAGUCGUUGAAACAGCAGAUAUUUUUGAAAUUCUGGAGGACAUCAAUGACUUUGUCCAUGAAUCUGAGGAAGCCAUUGACACACUCUUCAUCAACAUCAUGCAGCAGCAAAACAGUGAAAACGAAAGUGAAAGCAGUACUAAUAUGGCUCUUCUUGCUGGUCUCCACAGUAAAAUCAUUGAUAUUAGUAAUCGGAUGCAACAACUUCCACCCGGCGACAAUGGUUUUGAUAUCAGUGAAAAAAGUAACGAAAUCAUUCGCCUAUUGAGUGAGGGACAACCUCGGCUCGAUAUCAGUGAAUUUGAAAGGGGCAGAGAGAAGUUUUUUGAUCUAUUGAUUGAGGGACCAUCUGGGCUUUCAGUGGUUGCAAUUCUCGACAGCAGUGGCUUCGAUAUUUUUCAUAAAGGUAAAGAAUGUUAAAUUAAUGUUCUCUGAUGAUAUUUCUUAUCGGAUUUCCCUCAAAAGCAAAAUAAAUUGUCGGAAAAAUAAUACCUACUUCCUUAAAUUUUAAAAAAAUUAUCAUUUAGACCCUGAAAUUUUAAAACAGUUGCACCAAAAUCUUUUCUUUAACUAUGAUACCUCUUGAAUGUACUAACUAAAAAAUUGACUUUAAAAAAUUUUAAUCAAUACGAAUAUAAUAUAAAUAAUAAAAUCUACGUAGUAGGCUAAUAACAUUAAAGUAUAUUUAACAUUUAAAAUAAUAUUAAAAAUUUCAAAUUAUGAUUUUUAUUUUAAUCUUAUAUUUGUAUUUAUUAUAGAGAUUUUAAAUAAACCUUUGGAUUAAAAAGAUUUUAAAAUUAACAAAAUGUCUUCCUAUUAAUAAUAUUAACAUUAUUUUUUAUAAUAUUCAAAAUAAUUUAAACUUUAAUUUAUUUAUUGUAAUAUUAUGUUUCUAUUUAUUAUUAAAAUUACUUUAAUAUGAUAAAAUAUGCAUAAUAAAUUUUAAAAAAUAAAAUAAUUUUCUUGCUUGUCAACAAUUUUUUUUUUUCCACCAAAACCAAAAUAAAAUUAUGUCAAUAUCAAUUCUUUAACAGAACAACCUUAGGCCUUUCUAAUGUUUAAUACUACUAUUUCCAUGCCCAAAAAUUGUAAAAUUUUUAAUUAGUCCUGUUACUGGGCUUGAGGCAGUUACGCCAGUGAAGGCAAUUUGAUAUUAAAAUAUUUUUUAAUGAAAAAUUCUUUAAAUUAAAAAAGAAACAAUUGAUUUAAGCACCAAUAAUUAUGUCAUGGUAGUAAUUAAAUAAGAUAAAGGUUGGAUACCGAUUGGGAUACCUGUUCUUUUCAAAAGGCACGCAUCUUGGACUUUUCUCUAAAUGAACGCGUAUCAAUUUUUUGAGUUAAAAAAAGAGCAAUAAUGUCAUAUUUGUGGAAUUUAGCCACUUACACAGUUUCUUGGCAUCUUCCUUUCAAAUUCUCCCAUGGUGUUUAAUCUUUCAACUAUACCUCUGAGUGCUACGGAGAGAAGGAGAUAUGCUGGAAUUCCACCUCCGACUGUUUUGUGAGAGGUUGAAAAGGGUGUUAGCAGGUGAAGAAGGCACGUUGCCGCUGCCAGAUUCAACAAAUUUAACUCCACUUUUUCAAAACCUUCUUACGGAGUCCGAAAUUAUUGCUACUACUCUGCUGGAAAAAAAUGAAGCUGACAUGGCUCGGCAUUUGUUUCAACUCAUUAGAGAAGAAUUCGAUGAAUCCAAAAUAUCUUCGCCUUUUUUGCAACUGUUGGACUUAGAAGAAAGCGAU
RNAcentral lists this long non-coding RNA (2212 nucleotides) under Citrus sinensis (sweet orange). RNAcentral describes it as "long non-coding RNA (CSIN_LNC001146)". The record is from RNAcentral. Lineage: Eukaryota; Viridiplantae; Streptophyta; Magnoliopsida; Sapindales; Rutaceae.